AAGAGGGUGGUAGAGUCUAACAUACAGUGCUUAACAAGCUACCUUGUGAAUCCAUUAAAUUUUAAACCUUCGUAAUUAGAUAACCAGUUUCCAAAAAUAGCACAAUAGCACAGUUAGGUCUCAUUUUUGUUUUAGAAAUGAAAUUAUGUCAUCAACAUAGUUUUAUCUGUACCAGAGUCCCCUGCUCGUAUUUUUGCGGUGUGUGUUAUAAUAAAUCAGUAACAUAUUUUAUAACACUUACAGUAACCCAUGAUGCCUCUUUCUGUCCAGUUCCAGGCUCUUCCCUCCUUCAACAGGAGCGAGCCCCACAGCCCUUAUGCUAUUUGUCUCUAAUUAUAUGUUCUUCUCCUAGGCAAUUAUCCAGUAGAUAGGCCCUCUUAGCAAAGGGCUAGAGACUUACCACAAAAGAGGAGAAAAAGGAGAGCAUGUUUCUUCCCCAAUUUUAGAAAAGAAACCCACCUCAAUGAGUAAACGUUCAUGAAUGCAGAGAAACAAAAUUUGGCACAUUUUCUGAUUUUUUUUUUUUUUUUAGAACAGAAUUGUAGGACUUAAAUACUUUCCAGAGAUUGUAUCUGGCAGAUCACAGGAAUUGGGUUUUCAAAGAGAAAACCCCUUUUGCAGUUGGUCUCAAGGAUUUUUUUUUUUAUAAGAAAAGCAGCUACAGUCCUCAAAGGAACAGGUGGAAAAGAUUUAAUAACUGCAUGGUUAAGGAAAGGAGCAGCUAGCUUCCCUUGAUGACUGCUGGAUAAGUUUGGAAAGUUCACCAGUGCUAUUCAAGGCAGAAACUUAUCUAGGUGAACAGAUACCACCAUAGCAAGUGGUAUCUCAGACCAUCUGGAGAAAAGAAUUUGAGAACCUGAGUUUAAAUGCUGUCUCUGCCUUUGGCUGAUGGACUUGAAUAUAUAUCAGAAUAUUAAGAGGAAGAGGAUUGUUCCUCUGCCCGUUAUGAUUUUUCUUUCAGUGUCCUACCCCUUACCCCCGACAACACUUGCUAAGUUUCUAUAGGGAGGCCCAUAUAGAGCCAAUGACAAACCAAAUCAUUUGGACUUUUAGAAAGCUUUCCCAAGGAUUGUUUUAUCUCUGUUUCCCCUACCAAGGACACUGUUGCCCUGCUCCCUUCUGACCUCUGGAAAAUGUUUUCAUUCCAUCAACAUAUACUUACUAAGCACUCAUUAUGAGGCAGGCAUUGUGCUAAAGCAACCAUGAGAUCAAUGAUAAAUAAACAGAUAUGGCCCUGCCCUCAUAGAAAUUAUAGCCUAAGCUCCAUGGUGGAAUGUGGAGACCUUGCUUUUUAGAUAGCAGAGUAACUUGUUGCCAAGAUCUAGAGGGUGAUCCAAGACCUAUCUCUCAAUUACCAGUCUGGACUGUUUGUAUUCCAAAAAUGAAAUUAACUCUUGGCCACUGAAGGGUUUAUUUUUCACUCCCAAAUAAAAAUGAAGCCAUAUGAAAUGAGCCUAGGCCUUGAUGGGCAAAAGGGGAUACAACUAUGUUAGAAAGGACGACUUUUUAAAAAACCAUUUAUUAUGGAAAAUUCCACAUAAAUGCAAAAGUAAAGAAAAUAAUGAACUCCCAUAUAUCCAUCACACAGUUUCAACAAUUAUCAACUCAUUGGCAAUUUGGUUUUAUAUAUGCCACCAUUUCUCUCCCCACAUUACCCUAAAUUGUUUUAAAGCAAGGCAUUUUGAUUUAAUUUCAUCUGUAAAUAUUAUAUUUAAGCAUUACAGUUUUUAUUUUUCUUUAUGCCAAUUAGAGUUCUUUUACAUAAACAUCACACACAUAACAUGUAUGUAAUUAUACAGACACACAGAAGAAGAUCCUGUGGUUGUAAGAUUUUUCAUUUGCCAUUUUCUUAUUUGGAUUGCUGGCCUCAAGGUAGAGCCCUUCAAGAAACAGGGCUAGGAAAACAUGAAGUUUCUAGGGCCUAAUAAGCAAGCACAGCAAGAAGACAAAAACAGACACCCAAAAUGAAGGGUCCUAUUUUUAUACCAGAUCCUGGAUCCCCAACAGAGAGAAUUAGCCCAUUUCCCAUGGGAGUCUUAUCUCUCAGUGGGAAGUGGAGACAUUUCCACAACUUCUAGGUACCCAAGAGCAUGGUUCUCUGAUGUACACAUGCAAAGAGCCAGGUAUUCCCUGAUAACUGCCAUUAGCCAUUGUUAAAAGUAUAUUUAGCCUUAAAUUUUCAGAGGAAUCUAUCCACCACCCAUUCCUGGGGUUUUAGGAAAAUGGAGUUUUUUUCCAAAACAGGGUCUGUGACACCUCCUCUGUGUUUUGCAAGGAGUCCCAGGCAGAAAUUCAGAAAGACUCCAGGGAUGCCUCAUGGUCAGAGGCAUUUGACAAUUUAUAG
Molecule: long non-coding RNA, 2344 nt
Organism: Sapajus apella (tufted capuchin)
Lineage: Eukaryota; Metazoa; Chordata; Mammalia; Primates; Cebidae
Exons: 2
Source: RefSeq, a predicted model, not a curated record